Long non-coding RNA from Pseudophryne corroboree (corroboree frog), 164 nucleotides. RefSeq lists it as uncharacterized. The transcript has 3 exons. The record is from RefSeq and is a predicted model, not a curated record. Lineage: Eukaryota; Metazoa; Chordata; Amphibia; Anura; Myobatrachidae.
GUGUAGCCAAGCCUUGCCCGGGGUCCUCACUUCUUUUCACCCCCAUUCUAGACAUGAAGAAGAGUUGGAUCAAAAGACGCUCUCAGAAAUCAGGACACUCACGGAGGGUCUUCGGACGUUUUACUCAUGCGAAGUAUUCCGCUCCUGCAGGAAACACAGCUAUG